RGAGUUUGAUCCUGGCUCAGAACGAACGCUGGCGGCGUGCUUAACACAUGCAAGUCGAACGUGAAUCGACCUUCGGGUCGAGGAAAGUGGCGCACGGGUGAGUAACACGUGGAUAAUCUACCCAAUGGUCCGGGAUAACACCCCGAAAGGGKKSYWAAUACCUGAUAAGCCCACGAGCUCCUCGGAGCUUGCGGGAAAAGGKGGGGAMCCUUCGGGUCCUACUGUCAUUGGAUGAGUCCGCSUCCCWUUAGCUAGUUGGUGGGGWAAKGSCCUACCAAGGCUACGAU
Molecule: ribosomal RNA, 287 nt
Filed under: uncultured Pelobacter sp.
Lineage: Bacteria; Pseudomonadati; Thermodesulfobacteriota; Desulfuromonadia; Desulfuromonadales; Desulfuromonadaceae
Description: partial 16S ribosomal RNA
Rfam family: Bacterial small subunit ribosomal RNA
Source: RNAcentral